CAGCAGCCACGGGAAUACGUAGGUCCCGAGCGUUGUCCGGAUUUAUUGGGCGUAAAGCGUGCGCAGGCGGUUAUAUAAGACAGAUGUGAAAUCCCCGGGCUCAACCUGGGACCUGCAUUUGUGACUGUAUAGCUAGAGUACGGUAGAGGGGGAUGGAAUUCCGCGUGUAGCAGUGAAAUGCGUAGAUAUGCGGAGGAACACCGAUGGCGAAGGCAAUCCCCUGGACCUGUACUGACGCUCAUGCACGAAAGCGUGGGGAGCAAACAGGAUUAGAUACCCGUGUAGUCCCUGUCUCUUAUAA
This 301-nucleotide ribosomal RNA is filed under the name uncultured bacterium. RNAcentral's name for it is "partial 16S ribosomal RNA". It matches the Rfam family "Bacterial small subunit ribosomal RNA", at positions 509 to 809 of the family's 1533-position model. The record is from RNAcentral.